This is a non-coding RNA of Caenorhabditis elegans, 221 nucleotides long. The record is from Ensembl. Lineage: Eukaryota; Metazoa; Nematoda; Chromadorea; Rhabditida; Rhabditidae.
CGAAUUGUUGAGUCAUUCAUUCCGGGUCACUAACAAUCUUCGGUGUGAAAUUGCAGCUUUGUGCUGCCACGAUUUCUUCCUGGUCGUUUCACGUUCUAAAUUUCUGAAUCUGAAUCACACAGUUGUUUGGGAUAGAGUGAGUAGUGUAUGUCUCAAAAGUAAUUGCAGUCUGUCACUGGGAGCAGCCUAUUGUUUUCUUUUUUCACAAGUUUUCUUUUCUU